ACCUGGCUGCAGGGAGCAGAAAGUACCUAGAUUGGAGCAGAUCUGAGGAAAGGCCAUGGGAGUUGGGGAGCUCUGACCUGGAAAAAUCCCAGGCUGUGGCCUAGUAGAAGGCCAGGCAGGUAUUGAGGUUGCAAAGGGGGCAGCCCAUGGGUAGGCUGAGGCAACAGAUCCAAACCCCUCCUUGCCAGUGAUAAGUGGCUUUUACGCUGCAGUCUGCCCCUGAUACAACUAUGCCAGUUGGUGACUGGCAGUAGCCUUACACUGAGGCAAGGUGGAGAUAGUGGGUGGGGGUUCCCCUGAGGAGGGGGGGGACCCUGAGAGACAGUGGGUGUACUGCUAGGGGGCAGCCAUCCAAAAGACAAGGGGCACUGGGUCUGGGAGGGAUGUGGGGUCAGCAGUAAGGCGGAUCACUGACCUGCAGAGGGUGCUCCAGAGCCUAGUGAGCUGAUUCCUGACCAAGACCAGCUGGAGGUGCCGCAGGGAAUCUUUCUACUAGAGAUUCGAUGGAAAGAAAUACAAGGGCAUCCUUCCUGUAGCUGAAGAAAGCAUCCCAUCCCAUCCCAUCUCUUGGUGGUAGUUGGUGUCCCUGUUCUGGAAGGUGGUGGAGGCAUGACGCAUCAGGUGAAGAAGAGGAAAUAUUUGUAAGAGGUGUCACCUCCUUGUCUGUCCUUGCAUCUUUCUCCUCACGGGUCUCAUCCUCUGGCAUGGGUGGUGACAAAGAAGGUUGAAGAUGAUGCCUUGUUCUCUCCAACAGUGUGAAGACCUCGUCACAAAUUGCUGGAGUUGCAACACCCAGGGAUCCAGCAAGGCCACUGAGGAACGCCAAAAGGCAAAGAUGGAGACAUAUAUCUGUGUUCCUGCCAGGAGGGUGUCAUUUGAGGUCUAUUCUCUUGUAAAACAUCAGUGUAGGAGGGAGAGUGAUGUGUUCUGGGGAACCCUACACCAAGACCUGAAAAUCUGAAGAGUCCUCUUACACAUUCUCCAGGGGUCAAGGAGGGGAGCUGUUCAAUUUGCAAAGUAGAUUAGGGCAAGCCUGGUUCCCUAUGUGAUACAGAGAUCAGUGACUGAGAGGGUCUUGCUGCUGACAAACCCCCAACACUCUGAAGAGACUAACAAGUGUUUAGGGUACCUAAACUCUUGUGGUACUGACCGUAACAAAGACUGGCCUGGGACGGCCUAUGGAGGAUGGCUUCAGUACUGAUGUAGCCAGCACUGAGCGCUUGGCCUGUGAGUGCAUCGGCUCUGACUCCCACAGUAUUAUAUAGGGUCUAGUGGUCUUCGCUACAGUUGUCUUCCUUGAUAUCGGUACCAAGUGCUAUUCCGGGACACCUCUGUCUCUGUCAGUCAGGAUCCAGAUAUCCAAAGUCAGUCUUAGACUGAGUUUUCUUCUUUGCUUUUGCAGUACCUGCAUCACUCAGAGCCUAUGCUGAACUCCCCUUGCGACCUGAGGUCUCUGUAGCCCUGUUGUGCGUGGGUGACCAAGAUCUUGUUGGAGAUUUACACCUCUCUCCUUUGUUUAGAGGAAGAUAUAGAUGAGAACUGCAGUAGCACAGAAGUAGUCAGUGACACAGUACUGCCUACGUCUCUAGCUGUUUCCAAUGACUGAGAUCUUGUGGGGCAUUAGGAGUACUGAGAGGUCUAUGUACUGGGAGGGGUGGGGGGUCUUCUGCCUCUGGAUCCAAAGCUGGACAUAAGGCUUGUUCUAUCAUUAGUAGCUUAAACUUUAUCUCCCAAUUUUUUUUCUUCAAAAAUCUACCCCUGAAGGAUGUACAGAUCUUGCACUUACUAGGAAUAUGGAUAUCACACUAACAAUGCAGGUACUGGGAAAGCCUGUCACUGACUGAAAUAACCUCUCAGAAGGAGAGGCACCUCUUGAAUCCUGAGGAACCUGGCAUUCCUGAGAAAAAACAACAAGAGACAACCCAAGAAGGGGAAAUUCUAAACUACUAUCUAGCUAUAAGAAUAAAAGGAUUUUAUUUUUAGGGGGGGAAAGGAAAAACAAAGGAAACACUAAAAGUAAUUAUAAACUACCUAAAUCCUAAAAGGAGAACAGACACAUGCUGCAUCUCAGACCGAAGGCACUGAGAGCAGUUUACCUCUGCAGCUCCAAAUAGCCUUGGUGUGGGGCACCAGGAUGCGUAGGUCACAUGCAUGGACCAAAUGGCCACCACUACCAAAAAUCUCUGAUCAAAGGCACAGGGCGCAUACACACCUGAAGUGGAGCACCCACAGGAACACUACUCGAAGAACUGGAUAUUUUGUAGUGGUUCCUACAAGUUUUACUAUAUUAAAUAAAAAAGCUAUAUUUUACAUGCACACACAAAUUUUUACAAGCACUCAUGAAGCUUAGAUACACAACUAUCAGGGGGGUGAUGGAUCCUAGUCUCAGCAGCUCCUUGCCAUCCAACACUGAUGUCUCCCCCAGCCUGAGGGGCCUGCUAUGGGGCUCGUUGGACUGAGAUUCCUAGUCACUACAUGGUCAGCACUGCCCCCU
Dermochelys coriacea (leatherback sea turtle) is the source of this 2494-nucleotide long non-coding RNA. RefSeq lists it as uncharacterized. The record is from RefSeq and is a predicted model, not a curated record. The transcript has 3 exons. NCBI's taxonomy places the organism in Eukaryota, Metazoa, Chordata, Testudines, Dermochelyidae.